Molecule: long non-coding RNA, 492 nt
Organism: Lucilia sericata (common green bottle fly)
Lineage: Eukaryota; Metazoa; Arthropoda; Insecta; Diptera; Calliphoridae
Exons: 2
Source: RefSeq, a predicted model, not a curated record
ACAAAACAGUAUUACUAUUCCGCGUGGGAAGAGGUUGAUUUUUUUUUAUUGAUUAAAUAGAAAAAUGAAUUGUUUAAAGUGACAAUGAAAAUAACUGUUUAAAUUUUAACAUGUGGGAAAUAAAAUUGAAGACUUGAAAAGUCUGGGAGUACGAAGGAAAUAAAAUUCCUGUUCCUAAAAUAUGAUCGAUGUUAAUGUUUUGCAUUUAGCAUUAUGCAUCCAGCGGCUCUGGUACCUUCGUUAAGUACAUACAUUUGUAUGUCAUGGCAAUGACAAUAAUGCGGCAAAGCUGGUUGACGCUCCAACAAGAGUAAAUGGAGAUAUACAAAGGCAGAAAAGAGCACGUCCUGAUUUCCUUUAUACUACAAUGACAUCGUGCAUUAUUUAUCUAAAAACAGAAUUACGACGCCAUCAUAAAUACAAUUAUAAUGAAAAUUAUAUGUAUGCGUAGAUAAAAAGUGGAAUAAAAUAUAAAUAUUUUGAGAAAUAAAA